GUCGAGGGGCAGCAUAUAGAUUGCUUGCAAUUUAUGAUGGCGACCGGCGCACGGGUGAGUAACGCGUAUCCAACCUACCCAUUACUAGGGAAUAACCCAGCGAAAGUUGGCCUAAUGCCCUAUGUAGUCGUUUGAUCGCCUGAGAUUUCGACGAAAGAUUUAUCGGUAUUGGAUGGGGAUGCGUCUGAUUAGCUUGUUGGCGGGGUAAAGGCCCACCAAGGCAACGAUCAGUAGGGGUUCUGAGAGGAAGGUCCCCCACAUUGGAACUGAGACACGGUCCAAACUCCUACGGGAGGCAGCAGUGAGGAAUAUUGGUCAAUGGGCGAGAGCCUGAACCAGCCAAGUAGCGUGCAGGAUGACGGCCCUAUGGGUUGUAAACUGCUUUUAUAUGGGAAUAAAGUGAGGGACGUGUCCCUUAUUGCAUGUACCAUACGAAUAAGGACCGGCUAAUUCCGUGCCAGCAGCCGCGGUAAUACGGAAGGUCCAGGCGUUAUCCGGAUUUAUUGGGUUUAAAGGGAGCGUAGGCUGUUUGUUAAGCGUGUUGUGAAAUGUAGGAGCUCAACUUUUAGAUUGCAGCGCGAACUGGCAGACUUGAGUGCGCACAACGUAGGCGGAAUUCAUGGUGUAGCGGUGAAAUGCUUAGAUAUCAUGACGAACUCCGAUUGCGAAGGCAGCUUACGGGAGCGCAACUGACGCUAAAGCU
Molecule: ribosomal RNA, 703 nt
Filed under: uncultured bacterium
Lineage: Bacteria
Description: bacterial SSU rRNA
Rfam family: Bacterial small subunit ribosomal RNA
Source: RNAcentral